UUUGGCCCAGAUCGUUUACCGUGAAAAAAUUAGAGUGUUCAAAGCAGGCAGAUUCAAUUUUCUGCCACCGAAUACAUUAGCAUGGGAUAAUGGAAUAGGACCCUGUCCUCCUAUUUUCAGUUGGUUUUGGCAGCGCGAGGACUAGGGUAAUGAUUAAUAGGGAUAGUUGGGGGCAUUAAUAUUUAAUUGUCAGAGGUGAAAUUCUUGGAUUUAUGAAAGAUUAACUUCUGCGAAAGCAUCUGCCAAGGAUGUUUUCAUUAAUCAAGAACGAAAGUUAGGGGAUCGAAGACGAUCAGAUACCGUCGUAGUCUUAACCAUAAACGAUGCCAACCAGCGAUUAGGAGACGUUGAAUACAAAACACCACCAUCGGCGCGGUCGUCCUUGGCGCGUUCGUGUUCACGCACGGGCGGCGCGAGGGCGGCUUAGCCCGGUGGCACCGGUGAAUGACUCCCUAGCAGCUUGUGAGAA
RNAcentral lists this ribosomal RNA (469 nucleotides) under Acanthamoeba sp. BA-2013c. Its description in RNAcentral is "SSU rRNA". It matches the Rfam family "Eukaryotic small subunit ribosomal RNA", at positions 737 to 1096 of the family's 1831-position model. RNAcentral also lists the same sequence under 1 other name. Lineage: Eukaryota; Discosea; Longamoebia; Acanthamoebidae. The record is from RNAcentral.